GACGAACGCUGGCGGCGUGCCUAAUACAUGCAAGUUGAGCGCUGAAGGUUGGUACUUGUACCAACUGGAUGAGCAGCGAACGGGUGAGUAACGCGUGGGGAAUCUGCCUUUGAGCGGGGGACAACAUUUGGAAACGAAUGCUAAUACCGCAUAAAAACUUUAAACACAAGUUUAAGUUUGAAAGAUGCAAUUGCAUCACUCAAAGAUGAUCCCGCGUUGUAUUAGCUAGUUGGUGAGGUAAAGGCUCACCAAGGCGAUGAUACAUAGCCGACCUGAGAGGGUGAUCGGCCACAUUGGGACUGAGACACGGCCCAAACUCCUACGGGAGGCAGCAGUAGGGAAUCUUCGGCAAUGGACGAAAGUCUGACCGAGCAACGCCGCGUGAGUGAAGAAGGGUUUCGGAUCGUAAAACUCUGUUGGUAGAGAAGAACGUUGGUGAGAGUGGAAAGCUCAUCAAGUGACGGUAACUACCCAGAAAGGGACGGCUAACUACGUG
RNAcentral lists this ribosomal RNA (496 nucleotides) under uncultured bacterium. Its description in RNAcentral is "partial 16S ribosomal RNA". It matches the Rfam family "Bacterial small subunit ribosomal RNA", at positions 28 to 507 of the family's 1533-position model. The record is from RNAcentral.